GGGGAUUUAGCUCAGUGGUAGAGCACGUGUUUGAGUGUGCAUGAGGUCCUGGGUUCAAUCUCCAUUGCCUCCA
RNAcentral lists this transfer RNA (73 nucleotides) under Camelus bactrianus (Bactrian camel). It matches the Rfam family "tRNA". Rfam says of the family: Transfer RNA (tRNA) molecules are approximately 80 nucleotides in length. Lineage: Eukaryota; Metazoa; Chordata; Mammalia; Artiodactyla; Camelidae. The record is from Rfam by way of RNAcentral. RNAcentral also lists the same sequence under 2 other names.